Long non-coding RNA from Chenopodium quinoa (quinoa), 692 nucleotides. RefSeq lists it as uncharacterized. The transcript has 2 exons. NCBI's taxonomy places the organism in Eukaryota, Viridiplantae, Streptophyta, Magnoliopsida, Caryophyllales, Amaranthaceae. The record is from RefSeq and is a predicted model, not a curated record.
AUCACUCAUUAAGUAUCAUUUUUGCUAGUGUCUUAUACUCGUAUAAGUGGUAUAACAUCUAUAUAAAAAAAAUACAAAUAAAAAAAAACUUUCGCUAGUGUCUUUACUUUUAUUUAAAGCUUUAUCUCUUCUUUUGCUAGUGUCUUUACUUUCACUUAAAGCUUUAUCUUUACUUCAUACUACGUAUUAUUCAUUCAAGGAAUUCCUUCAUUCAAUUCAAUCUACCCCCUCUUUUUCUUUUCCUUUCCUCGAAGCAUAGGUGAACAAUGUCUUCUACAACCUCGCUCAAGCCGACGCCAAGUAGCCACCUUCACCUCUACCUCUACCUCAAUCGAAGCCGCACCACCACUACCUAUUGGCACCAUAGGCACCUCCAAUUGCUUGUUACUGCUACUUGCUGAUGUGAUGAUGUCACUAAUGCCUGCUGAUGUCACCGUCGUCUUCUGCUACUUCUCUCUGCUGGCCUAGUGCUGCUGUCUUCUGUUAGCUACUAAUAUGGGCGCUAUUAUAAGCCGCUGCUAUCUACACGCUGUUACUGCUAUCUGUUUGCUACUAAGCUUACUUAUUUUGCGUUUUCUAUUUUGGAAUUUGGUGGUCUGAUCUAGAGAAUGAAGUUGAGUUUCUUUUUGUUUUAAUUAUUAGAUUGUUUAGCCAAACAAACAAAUUGGUGUUUAUGGAUUUUUUUUAAGAAA